GACGAACGCUGGCGGCGUGCUUAAUACAUGCAAGUCGAACGGAAAGGCCCUGCUUUUGUGGGGUGCUCGAGUGGCGAACGGGUGAGUAACACGUGAGUAACCUGCCCUUGACUUUGGGAUAACUUCAGGAAACUGGGGCUAAUACCGGAUAGGAGCUCCUGCUGCAUGGUGGGGGUUGGAAAGUUUCGGCGGUUGGGGAUGGACUCGCGGCUUAUCAGCUUGUUGGUGGGGUAGUGGCUUACCAAGGCUUUGACGGGUAGCCGGCCUGAGAGGGUGACCGGCCACAUUGGGACUGAGAUACGGCCCAGACUCCUACGGGAGGCAGCAGUGGGAAAUAUUGCGCAAUAGGCGGAAGCCUGAUGCAGCAACGUCGCGUGCGGGAUGACGGCCUUCGAGUGGUAAACCGCUUUCGCCUGUGACGAAGCGUGAGUGACGGUAAUGGGUAAAGAAGCACCGGCUAACUACGUG
This 468-nucleotide ribosomal RNA is filed under the name uncultured bacterium. RNAcentral describes it as "partial 16S ribosomal RNA". It matches the Rfam family "Bacterial small subunit ribosomal RNA", at positions 28 to 507 of the family's 1533-position model. The record is from RNAcentral.